Molecule: ribosomal RNA, 253 nt
Filed under: uncultured bacterium
Lineage: Bacteria
Description: partial 16S ribosomal RNA
Rfam family: Bacterial small subunit ribosomal RNA
Source: RNAcentral
CACGUAGGGGACGAGCGUUGUCCGGAUUCAUUGGGCGUAAAGCGCGCGUAGGCGGCUCGGAAAGUCGGUCGUGAAAUGCCGGGGCUCAACCCCGGGACUGCGUCCGAUACUUCCGGGCUGGAGGUAGGUAGGGGAGAUCGGAAUUCCUGGUGUAGCGGUGAAAUGCGCAGAUAUCAGGAGGAACACCGGUGGCGAAGGCGGAUCUCCGGGCCUUACCUGACGCUGAGGCGCGAAAGCUAGGGGAGCGAACAGG